UCCAUAUUGAAAUGAUAACCUUAAUCUGUACUCCUCUUUGAUCAGUCUGGAAAUCUCUAGAGAGAAGGACUACUUUCAGCAGUGGACACCUGAUGAACAUAAUUUUUCUAACACCUCGGAGUCCGGAAUUCGUCGUCCGAUAUGGCGAUAGGUACAAAUCCUACCACAUCAUAGGACGGAAUACACACGGCGGGAGGUGGGUGCAUCAGUUGUGUUUCUGCCUACUACUUCGGGGAUAAAAGGCUUUCAGAGAUUACUCCUACAUAGAAACUUUGGAAUUGCCUCUACGGGAUCUACGCACUAAAGCUAGACGAUGACGAAGUAGACGAUGCGACGUGACGAAGCUAUUGUUUCU
This 355-nucleotide long non-coding RNA is filed under the name Manduca sexta (tobacco hornworm). Its description in RNAcentral is "uncharacterized LOC119190033, transcript variant X2". The record is from RNAcentral. Lineage: Eukaryota; Metazoa; Arthropoda; Insecta; Lepidoptera; Sphingidae.